This 1508-nucleotide long non-coding RNA is filed under the name Mus musculus (house mouse). RNAcentral's name for it is "long non-coding RNA chr3:154270206-154271714". Lineage: Eukaryota; Metazoa; Chordata; Mammalia; Rodentia; Muridae. The record is from RNAcentral.
AUCUUAUACCAAAGCCCCACACUGUAGCCUGUGAAGCCAUCAGAAGUCACAAGGGGAUUGUUAAUUACAUGCAACAUUUUUAUACUAAGAUCUUUCGUUUUGUAAUUUAUUAUUAUUAUUAUUAUUAUUAUUAUUAUUAUUAUCAUUUUUACAGAGAGUGACUUGGAUGUUUUGAAAAAAAUAUUGAAUACAUUCAUAAUCUUUUUAAUAGUAACUCCAUGAAGGAUACAUGAUCUAAAUUGAUAGCUCCUAGUGUAUUUUUAAAGACGACAACUAAAAGACUUCUGUAGGGAAAAUUGGUAAUUAAAGCAAGAUAAAUGUUUUUUAAGGCCCUUCCCCGCCUCCUGUUUGACAGUCAACGGGUUAAGCGGACCACCCGCUUUGGUCUUUGCAUCCUGUGAGAGCUGCCAGUCAGUCCUUCAGCCCUUACCACUCAAUUCUCUCAGUGCCUUCCUGGCUGGUCAGUACUUCCCGGAUCUUGUGAGCAAGUGGACAGACCUCGUUUGAAAGAAAUUAAACUUUAAACCCUGCAAUGCUGAGUGAUGACAAGUCUCAUGCUUCUUUUGUUUUGUUAUUUUUGUUUUGUUUUUGAUGUUUUGUUUGGCUUUGUUUUGUUUUGUCUUGCUCACUGACUGGACUCCACUAGCCAUGACACUACCUUUGAUAUCCUCCUCAUCAAAGGAGUACACUGUGUGAUACAAACAAUUCCCCUUGUGCCUAGUGGAUAUUCACAAAUGGGUGCCACACGCAACACGCAACACGCAAAGCAGCCUGAACGAACAUGUGUUGGAUUUGUCUUUGUUUUUACUAAAAGAAGUUUUAAAGUAUAAUCUUUUCUAUAGCGGUUCCUUUGAAAUAUGGGUCGGCAUGCACACGUCUGGUGUCUCACCCAUACCUGAAGGGGAAGCCUGUGGGAGUUUCACAGGGCAACUUUCCCUCUGAGGGGAAGCUGUGUGCUGGGCUGGAAAGCCCCAUUACCUGUGGCUCUUCUAUCCUGUUAUGGAUUGUCAGUUCCACUAACUUUUAUACGAAACAACCUGUUUACCUGUCAGUUUUUUAUUGUGCCAAUAGAAACUGGAACGGUUUUUAAUUCAGUUUUGAAUAAUUUUAUGAGGAUUGCUAAGUUUUAGGAGAACUUGACUCAGUUCACCAACUCAGCAAGUCACCCGAGAAGGGGAUCAGUGAGAGUCAAUCAACAAUACCUACUGUUGUUUAUUGAUGGUUUGUUGAAAACUCACUUUAGAUACCUUUAUACCAAAAAGCUCCCACUGGCGCCUUGCAGUGUGGGCUCACCACCCCCUACCCCCACCCCACGCCACGCCUGGUGGUUUGGGCUCUGCUGAGCCCAUGGUGGUGUGGGUUGUGUAGUUAGUGUGUCUCUGCUAUGCAGGAACACUGAAAGCAUAGGGUCUAAAUACCUUUGAUAGAUAAAAUGGUUGAUAUUUAAUAAAAUUUGUUGGUACUUAUUGUAUAUUUGGCUUCUUCUAAUAAAGAUUUCCAUAAGAGAC